Molecule: RNA transcript, 11137 nt
Organism: Dreissena polymorpha
Lineage: Eukaryota; Metazoa; Mollusca; Bivalvia; Myida; Dreissenidae
Gene name: phospholipase DDHD2-like
Exons: 24
Source: RefSeq, a predicted model, not a curated record
UCCGGUGAUUGACGUGUAAAUGGCUGACAAAUUUAAGAAAGAUGCUACUCCACCGCCGUUGCUUUUAAUGCCGGCCGGUGGAGGCCUUACUCUUACUCCCCCUGAUCAGCCAAGUUUGUUUAUGCCAGUUGUUCAAUCAGAACCAUCAUUGUUUGGUCCAGAGGAUGAUGUUCUUGGUGAAGCUGACAGUUUUGUUGGACAAUCUCCACCACAAUCCACAACUGGUGGUCAGUAUGGUGUACCCCAGGGAAUUCCCCCGCCUGGCCCCCCUCCGUCUGCCCUCUUCCAGAGCACUCUCAGCAACAGUGGCCCCUUUGUUCAAGGUCUCCAAGGGUCUACUGGCAGGCCUUCCCCUGGGUCUACACCGCCAUUGUCCCAGGCACCCACACAUCCCUCUAUGCCAUCACAUGGACUGGGUGUGGGAAUGACUCCGCUAGUUCCAUCAGGCCAUGUUCCUGCCUCAACGCACAUGUCUGCUGCAUCACCUAUGCCCAACUCGAGUGGACUACAGGGCUUGUACAGAAAGCAUGGUUCAAGUCGGUAUGCCCAAAUGCCUGCUGGGACGUACGCAGGGUCAGGGUCUUCCCCAGCUGCCCUCAUGUCUGCGCCCCCAGCACCUGUGCCUUUCUCCCAAAAUUUCUUAGAAGCCUCGGGCUUCGACCUGGCCGCCUCUGUGCAAACUUCAGGUCAAGGUUAUGGCAGUGGCCUGCCUCAGACGUUGCCUGCCCAGCCCAGUCUGGGCCCCAUGCAGGGGAUGGGGUAUGUCCCAAGUGCUAUAGGCACGUAUCUCCCUGUGGCCAACCACUGGUGCUACUGUGCUAACGUUGAGGGUCGAGACAUCUGGUACCCCCUGUCUAUGGCAGAUAAUCUGGCGCUAGAGGAAGCACUCAAGUCAGGAGACUGCAACAUCGUGGUACCCAUCGAGGGUGGCAGGUAUGAUGUGAACCUCUCAGAACGCAAGCGAUACCCAGUGUACUGGGAGGAGGAGCCCAAGGCAGUGCGCAGGUGCAGCUGGUUCUACAAGCGCGAGGGCGACAACAGAUACGUACCCUAUGAUGAGAAUCUCUGCAACAGGCUGGAGGAUGAGUACAGAACGGCGGUCACCAGUGGGGUGUGGCACAAACCCAUCCAGUUUGAGACUGGUGAGACCAUAGUGAUGCACAACACCAACGUGAUGGUCCACUACCAGCCUUCCUCCCAGCCCGACGAGUGGGGAACCACACAGGUGAGCCAGAUUAACCCCUCAAAGGGAGACCAGAUGCGUCCGAGAGUGGUGAAGCGUGGUGUGUCAGACUUCGAUAUCACUGAGGGGGAGUCCCGCCAGGUUGAUCACCUCGUGUUUGUGGUCCACGGCAUCGGCACUGUGUGCGAUAUCCGCUUCAGGAACAUCGUGGAGUGUGUUGAUGAUUUCCGGUCGAUCUCCCAGUCGCUGUUAUCGAGUCACUUCAGUGAGUAUGUAACGUCCAACAGGAUAGGCCGUGUGGAGUACCUACCUAUACAGUGGCAUGUGGCUGUACAUGGGGACGCCACGGGCAUUGACAAACGUCUCAAAGAAAUCACGUUGCCUAGUACCCAGAAGCUUAGACAUUUUGUGAACGACACUCUUCUUGAUGUCUUGUUCUACACAAGCCCAAAGUAUUGUCAGUGUAUAGCAGACACGGUAGGGAGGGAGAUCAACAGACUGCAUGAACUGUUCAUGGCACGUAACCCACACUUCAGGGGAGGCAUCUCUGUAGCAGGACACAGUCUAGGUUCGUGUAUAUUGUUUGAUUUGCUGCAACACCAAGGUGACCAAUCAGAUUUCUCGAAUGACACACCAAUGACCAAUGGGAAGAUUGAACAGGAAUCUUCUGUCGUCCAAGAGCCAAUGUUUCAGGCAUUGGAGGAAAGUUUCCACCAGGACCAAGAAGAAGAGGAGGAAUCUACAAUGACACUAGAGAGUCUCCUUGCCAAGGUGGGACUGCAGGAGAAAGCCCAGCUGUUUGAGGCAGAGCAGAUUGACUUGGAAUCAUUGUCGAUGUGCAGUGAUUCUGAUCUCAAAGAUCUGGGGCUGCCCAUGGGACCUCGCAAGAAAUUGCAGGGACUACUGACAGAACAAAUCCAUAAUAAGGAGAAGAAAAAGCAGGUAGUUGAACAACGAAAAAGAGCGGAAGAAGAUCGGAAAAUACGAGAGAGAGUUGCCAUGGAGAUGGCCUUGAAGCAACAGCAGCAGAAGCAGUCCAAUAAUGCCUCAGGUAGCCCCUCCAACGUCUCUGUGGACUACAUAGUGGGGCUGGGAGGCACGGGGCAGCCCCACAUCAAGUACCCACAGCUCCAGUUCAGCCCCGUAUGCUGUUUUGCCCUGGGGUCCCCUGUGGGUCUCUUCCUUUCAGCAAGGGGCCUUGAGACCAUUGGUGAGGAGUUCAGGCUUCCCACCUGCCAGAAAUACUUCAAUAUAUUUCACCCGUUUGAUCCUGUGGCUUACAGACUGGAGCCCCUGAUCAACCCAUCUGUGUCAAAUAUCAAGCCAGUACUUAUGCCCCACCACAAGGGACGGAAAAGACUUCAUCUUGAGUUGAAGGAGAGCCUCGCCAGGAUGGGGACGGACAUCAAGCAAAAGAUCAUUGACUCCCUCAAGUCCACAUGGAUGUCUCUCAACAACUUUGCCCGUGCCCACAGUUCAGAUGGUACCUCGGCAGGGGUGGGCGGUGAGAGUCUGGAACAGCAGGUUGAGGCAGAGAUGUCACACGUUGCCCAGCAACUGGAAGAUGACGACCGCUCCUCUGUGACGUCCAACGUUGAGGAUAUCUAUAUAGGUCAGCUGAACGAGGGUCGGCGGGUGGACUACGUCCUUCAAGAGAGACCCAUAGAGAGCUUUAACGACUACAUGUUCUCCCUUACUAGUCAUGGGUGCUACUGAUCAAGGGGAGACAUAUGAAUUUCGCGUACUGGCAAAGAACGAGGUUGACUUUGGGGAAAGGGCUGUAGUGGAACUAGUGACACCAGAUGGAGGUAUGUGCAACACACCUUAACUCGGUUGUCAGAAAUGUUGAAACAUGAGAUGUGCUCAAGGAAAACGGGGCUUAAUGCAUGUGUAUGAAGUGUUUGAUAUCUAACCUGUGACUGCACAGGCUAAUAGAAGGAUGACACUUUCCGCCUUUAUUGGAUUUAAAUUUAGAAGAGAAUUCCUUUAAAUAAGAAAUUCCAUAAAAGCGGAAAUCCCAUAUUAGCCAGGGCAGACUGCAAAGGCUACUCUGUGAUGACUUCUUACUGCAUAUGCAUUAAGCACCGUUUACCCAGAGGGCGGGUCAUAUUAAUUGAAAGUAAUUUCAACAUUUUUAUGCCCCCCUUCGAAGAAGAGGGGGUAUAUUGCUUUGCACAUGUCUGUCGGUCAGUCCACCAGGUGGUUUCCGGAUGAUAACUAAAGAACGCUUAGGCCUAGGAUCAUGACACUUCAUAGGUAGAUAGAUCAUGACUCGCAGAUGACCCCUAUUUAUUUUGAGGUCACUAGGUCAAAGGUCAAGGUCAUGGUGACCCGAAAUAAUAAAAUGGUUUCCAGAUGAUAACUCAAGAACACUUAUGCCUAGGAUCAUGAAACUUCAUAGGUAGAUUUAUCAUGACGAACGCAUAUGCCUAGGAUCAUGAAACUUCACAGGUAGAUAGAUCAUGACUCGCAGAUGACCCCUAUUGAUUUUUAGGUCAGAAGGUCACUACGGCAAGGUCACGGUGACCCGAAAUAGUAAAAUGGUUUCCGGAUGAUAACUCAAGAACACAUAUGCCUAGGAUCAUAAAAUUUCAUGGGUAGAUUGAUCAUGACUCGCAGAUGACCCCUAUUGAUUUUGAGGUCACUAGGUCAAAGGUCAAGGUCACGGUGACCCGAAAUAGUUAAAUGGUUACCGGAUGAUAACUCAAGAACACCUACGCCUAGGAUCAUGAAACUUCAAAGGUACAUUGAUCAUGACUCGCAGAUGACCCUAUUUGAUUUUCAGAUCACUAGGUCAAAGGUCAAGGGUACGGUGACCCGAAACAGUAAAAUUGUUUCCAGAUGAUGAUAACUAAAGAACGCUUUUGCCUAGGAUCAUGACACUUCAUAGGUACAUUGAUCAUGACUCGCAGAUGACCCCUAUUGAUUUUCAGGUCACAAGGUCAAAGGUCAAGGUCACAGGGACAAAAAACGUAUUCACACAAUGGCUGUCACUACAACGGACAGCCCAUAUGGGGGGCAUGCAUGUUUUACAAACAGCCCUUGUUAAAAGUAUCGUUUUCUCAUGAAGAACCAAAAGGCCAUUUUUAUUUAAGAAAAAUAUUUAAAGUGACUAAAUUUAACAUAAGCCUUAUUCUACAUCUGGUUAUGAAAUAUUUAAUAAUUCUAUAUCAGUUAACAUAAACCCAUUUAUGCCUAGCGUCUAGAAAAAAUGCCUUGGCAAACAGCGUAGACCCAGAUGAGACGCCGAAUGAUGAGGCAUCUCAUCUGGGUCUGCGCUAUUUGCUUAAAGGAAUUUCUGAAAGAAAUAUUCUAAAUAUAGAAAUAAAUAUACUAGACAUUCCUAAUUUUGGAAAUAAAUUGAUCCAGUUUAGAAGGAUGGGAGAGUCCACUAGGCAAAAAUGGGUUAAACAUAAAACAUAAAAGUAAUAUCUUCGUGGAUAAUUCUUUGGGGUAAUUCUAGCAGGGUUCAAUUCUACCAAUGGGUCAUUCUACAUGAAGUAGUUAAAAAUACAGUUAUUGCAUACAUUAUGCAUAUUGUUAUUUCACAUGGGUAUUUUUGCAUUGGAUAACAGGGGUGAUUUAAAAAAAAAGGGUUGUUCUUACAAUUGGCAAAAUUGCGUAUGGUCACAGAAAUCAGAUCCUCCUUAGUUUUUUUGUACACAGUUUAUUAUAUGAUGAAAAGUUCAGAUGUUCAUUAAAUUUUCACAGAAAUUUAAUUGAUUAAGCCCCCCUUCGAAGAAGAGGGGGGUAUAUUGUUUUGCACAUGUCGGUCCGUCCGUUCGUAUGUCCGUCCACCAGAUGGUUUCCGGAGGAUAACUCAAGAAUGCUUACGCCUAGGAUCAUGAAACUUCAUAGGUAAAUUGAUCAUGACUGGCAGAUGACCCCUAUUGAUUUUGAGGUCACUAGGUCAAAGGUCAAGGUCACAGUGACUCGUUCUUGGAUGCAGUUUAGGACCACAUUUGCAGAUUAUAUUAUGUACUGAUGGGUGGGGUCUCCGUCCCAACCAGAUGGUUUUCAGAUGAUAACUCAAGAACGCUUAGGCCUAGGUUAAUGAAACUUCAUAGGUAAAUUGAUCGUGACUGGCAGAUUGCCCCUAUUGAUUUUUAUGUCACUAGGUUAAAGGUCAGGGUCACAGUGACUCGAAAUAGAAAAAAUGGUUUCCGGAUGAUAACUCAACAAUACUUACGCCUAGGAUCAUGAAACUUCAUAGGUAUAUUGAUCAUGACUGGUAGAUUACCCCUAUAGAUUUUCAGGCCACUAGGUCAAAGGUCAAGGUCACAGUGACUUGAAACAGUAAAAUGGUUUCCGGAUGAUAAUUCAAGAAUGCUUACGCCUAGGAUCAUGAAACUUCAUAGGGACAUUGAUCAUGACUGGCAUAUGACCCCUAUUGAUUUUCAGGUCACUAGGUAAAAGGUCAAGGUCACAGUGACAUUAAACAUAAUCACAAUGGUUGCCAUUACAACUGACAGCCCAUAUGGGGGGGCAUGCAUGUUUUACAAAAAGCCCUUGUUACUUUUUAUACUAAAUAGAUAUGUUGUUGUAUACUUCAGUCGUUUUCGUUAUGUACGGAUCGAAUGAAUUAGCUAUAAAUAUAAGCUUACGCAAUUUCCGUAUCAAGUGAUUACUCGUCAUCUCCUUCUUUUGCAAACUAUCAGUUUGAACGUUCACAUUGAAAAAAAAAACACCCACCGCACCCCGAUUCUCAUUUUCAGUAUACAGCUUUACACAGUUGCAUAUUAUCUACUAUGGUUUAGUGCCAUAUCUCUUAACACUAGCGACUCAAAUUGUUCGUUCUAUGAUACUGCCGACAAGUCUUCUAUUUCAAGUACAAAUCCACCGGCUUCUGGCGGGCUCCUAAAGUCUGGGGGCUGCAAUCCAAGCACAUUGCGGUGCCGGGGCAAGCAAUACCCUCACACGAUCGUUCUAGGUCCACCGUUCGGUCCGGUACAUAAAGGACGCAUAUCGACGGGCAGUGUGACACAGUGCUUGGCACCUCUUCAUUGCUUGAACUGAUUAAUAUCUGUCGUGUGUAUAAUUGCCAAGUAUUAUGGCUUCUUGUGAAGAUCCACGUAUGCAAACAUUCAUUAUGUUGCCUUUUUAAUAUCUCAUAUUAAUAUGUCUACUUAUGCUAUUGUCAUAUGUGUAUUUUUAUUUGUGUUUGCGGGCAAUGUGACACAGUGCUUUGAACUUCUUCAUUGCUUAAACUGAUUAAUAUCUGUCGGGUGUAUACUUGCCAAGUAUUAUGGCUUCUUGUGGUGAUCCACGUAUACAAACAUUCAUUAUGUUGCGUUUUGAAUAUCUCAUUUUUAAUACGUCUACUUAUGUUAUUGUCACGUGUUUUUUUUAAUUGUGUUUGCUUUCCUGUCGCAGUGCGGAAAAUUCUGUUUGCCGGGGUCGGAUGGGCAUGCCGACUUAUUUUAAAACAUAUAUCUCUUAAAGCUAACCUUAACGACAUUGACUUAACACAUUUGCUUGGAUGGAUUCUGCGUUACUUGUAACAUUAGCGUUUUCUUUCGGGUAAAUUCCUACUUAUUCUUAAACAUAUAUCUCUUAAAGCUAACCUUAACGACAUUGACUUAACACAUUUGCUUGGAUGGAUUCUGCGUUACUUGUAACAUUAACGUUUUCUUUCGGGUAAAUGCCUACUUAUUCUUAAACAUAUAUCUCUUAAGGCUAACCUUAAAGACAAUGACUUGACACAUUUGCACGAAUGGACUCUGCGCUACUGUGAACCAUCAGCGGGUCCUUCCGGAUACGUCAAAGAAAUUAUAGCCUUAAGUUUAUAACAUAGUAGCAAUACCGUGGGGCAAAAACUUUAUGUUUAAAGGUCCGUUUUUUAAAGUGUGUAACCGUUGGUCCGAGUUAUAGUGUGUAAAAAGUGUGAAAUCGCUGGUGUAGCGAUAGUUAUAAAGUGUGUAAAAGUGUGAAAUCGCAGGUGUAGCGAUAGUUAUAAAGUGUGUUAAAGUGUGAAAUCGCUGGUGUAGCGAUAAAUAGUAUUAUGGACCGAGUUUAAAAGUGUGUAAAUAUCGGACCUAAAAAGUGUGAAAUCACUGGUUGAGCGAUUAGUGGUAUUAUUGUGUUGGUCCGAGUAAUACGUGUUUUAAAAGUGUGAAAUCGCUGGUGGAGCGAUAAGUGGUAUAAUUGUCCGAAUUUAAAGUGUCUAAUCAAUCGCUGUCCGAGUUAUAAAGUGUGUAAAUGUCGGACUCCAAAAAAGUGUAGAAUCGCUGGUGGAGCGAUAAGUGGUAUCGUGUGUUAUAGUGUCUGUCGAGCGAUUGGUAGAACUAGGUUUAGCCCAGUCCAGUGAAUGGUUUUCCUAGUUCGUCGCUCCUGAAACAUUUUUUAAUUGGGCAUCGGUGUUGCUGCUAAUGGCGUAACUUCACAUUGGUAAUUUAACGGGCGCUCAUCCACCUCCGGUAGACAUAAUUUUUCAAGACAAUCCGGGUCACGUAUGACAGCCAACCUUGAUACCGUGGUUACCACUGGCUGUUUUUUCUGUACCGCUGCGGCCAUUCAAUUCCACACUUCAAUUACUUUUUAUACUAAAUAGAUAUGUUGUUGUAUACUUUAUAAUAUGUUGUUUUAUAUUCACGUAAUCGGUAUUUGAAAGCAAAAUAUGAUGACAUAGUAUUAUAAAACCAGUUAACUAAGUAAUGGGUUGUUAUUUAAUUGUUGCAGUCGUAAAAUAAUUUGAUUUUGUAUGAAUGUGUUCGCUAUGUCAAUAAUACGUUUCAGUUCAGCUUAAAUUAUUUUUAGAUCUUACUGUUUUUUCAUGUUGUUGUUUUGUCGUCAUGUAAAUAAUAUGUCUCUCGUUCUAUUGUUGAUUUACAAUAUUAAAUGAUUAAAAACAGUUUUUGUCAUUCAUUAGCGACGGCAACGCUGUGUCAGUAUUAAGUCACUUCCGGGGAAUUUCCGAAAACCGAAAAAAAAACGAAAGUAGAAUUCAUGGAGUAAUGGUACAGUACACAAAGUUGAUUUUGUUCAUUUUUUCCAACAGAUGUUGACCGAAUAUCCGAAUGUUCGUUUGGAAGAUGGCCGAAUAUUCGAAUACCAAAAUCGGUAUUCGUUUCCAUCACGGGUAAAUAUACUUUAAUUCAGGUUACGGCGAGUAUGGAAAUAGUGAUUAUUCUUGUUUAUGUAGAUGGCGAUAUAAAAUUAAUGGAUAUUGCAGUACCUUACUGUUUCUCUCCUAUAAACCCUAUAUAUCAAUGCGUAAAAGCGAGACGGAGAAUAAAGCACUUAGUAACGUGGUUUUCUUCGUAUAUUGAAGUAUAUGUAUUUUAGAAGUUGCUACAGCAGCCUUCAGAUAACAUACAAGUGGCAUUAAAACAUGUUGUUGUGCUCGUAUUUUGAACUUAUUACGCGCCCAUGGAGUGUGGUGGUGACAUCCGCCAUAUAAAGGCAUUGCAGUUGCAUGACAACAUUAUGAUCUUGUUGUUGACGAAGGUGGUAUCUAUAGGGACACAUUGCAAGGAUUAUUUAAAGUUGAAGGUGCCACAAACGGCAAUGUAUGACGUCUGUAUACGUGUUGUGUGGGUUUAAUUGUUUGUUCGGAAGCGCAAUGAAUUACAUUCAUCGAAUGUGUUCCUGUUUUAUAUUACUCGAAUAAAUCAAACUUGGUUGUAAAACUUCGUGUGCAAGUUAGAAAUGUUCCUCUAACUGACAAUUAUGUAAAUGACAUGAUUGCACACAAAUACAGAUUACAUGUAUUCAAUCGAACACUCACCUGCUGUCAAUCAAAUGAGCUUCUCCGAUUAUUUGUAUAUCGUAAUUAUAUAUUUAUACAAUAUCAUAUGAUAUGAAUAUUAAGCAUAUAUACUGUCAUACCGAAUACAACAACAAUACAAAAUGAAAGAAUAUUACAUUAAAAAACAUUGUGGUAUUCAUGCAUGCUUAAGAAAAGGAACAAUAACGAUAUUCACAUUAUAAAAUAUUAUUGUGACUUGUUCGUACAUGUUUGUUAAAGGUCAACAGAAGAAAUCUGCUUAACUGUUCAUAUUUUAUAAAGUAAUACCAUAUUAUAACAACAAAGUAAAAAAAUAAAAUUAAAAAAAAAAGUUAGAGCUAAAAAAACGAUGAUUUUGAUGAUCGGGAAUUUCCGUAACGCGUUCGGCAAUUUCCGCCGCUAUUUUACCCCGAUGACGUAUGUGUGCACCACUGCGCAUGACGAAUAUUCCCAUGUUAUGUACAGUAUGCACUGAAGCAUGCAAAUUUCCCUCAAAACUUCAAGGAUUACAAGACUGUGUUGAUCAUUCACUUGCAUAUACUUAAUUUAUAAUCUCUUUUGUGUUGAUUACGAGUCGAACUUCUACAUGACAUUGAGGAUUCACUGAUUUAUAAGAUGGUUCAUUGUGCAGCGUUUGGCUGCAAUGCUCGUUCUGAAAAGCAAACGGAGAAGAAAGGAUUCUUCGGCUUCUCAAAGGACGAAAGUAUUAAGCGGAAAUGGAUUCUAGCCGUGAAUUCACGAAGGAUUAUCGACGGAAAGGUGGUGGACUUUACGCCAAGCAAAUAUGCAAAACUCUGCAUAAAACAUUUUGAGGAUAAGUGCUUUGUCCACCCCCCCCCCCCCCCCCGAGUGUGAUGGCGAGUGCGGGCUUUGGGAUGAGACUGUCGCUGCAUCCUGAUGCAGUGCCAACUUUGUUCCCUGACACGGACAACUUCAAGGCAUUACAGCCGAAAGCCCUAAGGCCAGACGAGUUAGGAGCCCCCAAACGGAAACGUGACAACUAUGGUGCUUUUGCCAAGAGAAAUCGCAAAACGGCUCGAAGGCGCACAAGGAAUUACUGUUGGUCAUCGGAAGCAAGCGUCUUCUCUCUGACAUUCGCAUGCUGUCACCAGCUGAACAGACCUCGAUGCUGGAGGCUCAACACAAGGUGGUCUGCCAAUUUGCGCCAAAAUUUGUCUGCUUUUCAUACGCAGCAAUGAAACAGAGAUUGCAUCUGGCAGCCCUGCAUUCCGUUUCUAAUGCGCACAGGAAACAUGCAGAGAAGAAGAACGGCGAAAAGCGCUACAGGAUUUCGUAUCCAAAGUACAAGGCGGGACACCAUGUCGUGAAACCUGUCAAAGAGGCCUGCAAUUAUGAUUAUGUCACAGAGCUCAUGGUUGAAUUGCUGCAAUUAAAACAGUUCAAGAGCACCCGGAUUGCUAAGCAGGCAUCUUCUUCCAUUCUGUUCUCUCCACCACCAUUAGCAUCAUCUGCGAAGAAAAUUUUAAAGAAUGAAGCAGUGCAGUUGCACCGCUCUAGGUUUAAUUAAUUACAGUAAUUGGAAACAACUUGGCAUGCCAUUUGUCAUGUAUUGCUCCAGCUGGGUUUAGUGUACGUGCGUAAGGUGUCAUCCCAGAUUAGCCUGUGCCAUAUAUGUUUGUAAUUAAUUAAAAAAAUCCUCGCGCUGGAAAGAUGGGACAAAGCGUGCGCAAAAUAUCUCGUCCCAUAUUAGCCUGUGUCCCUGAUAAGACUGUGCAGACUCGACGUGAAAACAUGAUAUGCCCCAAGUUUUAUAUGACAAUGUCUACGAAUGUGCCCUUUUGACAAAUUAGAACCUAGCUGAAGCACUGAUCACGUAUUGUUUCAAAUUAACAUAGCAACUACAAUUAUUUUUUUGAAAAAUGUGAAUGUAUUAUUUUGACAAAUAUGCUGUAAUAAUAGUUUUCCCAUUGUGUGCUAUACUGUUAGUAUAAAAAUGUUAAUGUCAACACCUUUAUUUUUAAAUGUUGGGACCAUGUAGUGUUUUUUGUGUGAUAGUAUUGGUCUGUAAAAGAUGUUUUAGAAGUCAUUUUGUUAAAGGUACUUAAUAUGACUCCAUGACAAGUUGUAUUGCAACAUUGUGCUAGUAAAGCUCAUUUACUUAUUCCGUCCAGUUUUCUAAAACUUGUCGUCAGGUUACAAGUUGUUCUGUUGUUGUGUCUGUGGUAAUUUAUAUUUUUAGAUGUUGCAAUAAACUUGUAUGCUACAUA